Non-coding RNA from Vigna angularis (adzuki bean), 146 nucleotides. Lineage: Eukaryota; Viridiplantae; Streptophyta; Magnoliopsida; Fabales; Fabaceae. The record is from Rfam.
GUUGCUUCUGCGUUUAUACUACGAUGAGUGCCCCUUUUCGCGGUUGGGCUUUCGCACUGGGAAGCAUAUAGAUGUGAAUUGCCAGUUUUAAACAGCAUGAUGUAAUCUUUUUCUUUGCGUUGUGUUACCUGUCUUCUGGUAAAUCC